This 1512-nucleotide long non-coding RNA is filed under the name Arabidopsis thaliana (thale cress). Its description in RNAcentral is "potential natural antisense gene, locus overlaps with AT2G30360 (AT2G30362)". Lineage: Eukaryota; Viridiplantae; Streptophyta; Magnoliopsida; Brassicales; Brassicaceae. The record is from RNAcentral.
AAUCACCAUCACCACCUCUCCGCCGUGCCUCCACCACCACAAGCAAAUCAUUCAACCGCGAAAUACAAAUCCCGAUACCAAAUUUCCCAUUUUGCCCCUCCAUCUCAAACCCAUACUCUUCCUCCUUCUUCUUCUUCAUCCUCAGAUUCUCCUCUCUCGCAAACCCCUCCACUUCCUCCGCCAACAUCUCCGGCGACUUUUCCGAUAAAAACCUCUCCGAUUCACCACUCGAAUUACUACAACCAGCAAACAAUCCCGACAAAUCCAAUCCCGACGAGUAAGAAAUCAAAUCAAACGCGUUUAAACUCUUCACAGCUUCUAGUGACGAUUCCACUUUCUGAUCUUCGAUCUCGUCAUCGUGGAACUUGAUCUGUUUAAAACCUCCUCUAACAAACCAAGGAUCUUUCAAAAUCUCAUCAAUGGUGAUUCUAGUCUCAGGAUUAAUAUCUAAAAGACGAGAAACGAAUCGUUUCAGAUCUGGAGACAUCCAACGAGGAAAACGAUACUCUCCUUUAUAAAUCUUCUUAUACAUAUUCAUCACAUUCGGAUCGUUAAACGGUAAAUAACCGGCGACGAGAACGAACAAGACGAUUCCACAAGACCAUACAUCAACUUUAGCACCUUCAUAUCCUUUUUUAGAUAGAAUCUCCGGCGCAACGUACGCCGGAGUACCACACAAGGUAUGUAACAACCCAUCGGGUCGGAUCUGAUCCGUUAACGCGCUUAGACCGAAAUCGGAAACUUUUAAGUUUCCGUUUUCGUCUAUUAAUAGAUUCUCUGGUUUGAGAUCGCGGUGGUAAACACCGCGAGCGUGGCAAUAACCAACGGCGGAGAUCAGUUGCUGGAAAUAUCUCCGGCUUAAAUCUUCGCUAAGACGUCCAUGUUUUGAGAUUUUGUUGAAUAGUUCUCCUCCUUUAACAAACUCCAUUGCGAAGAAGAUCUUUGAUUUUGUCGCCAUUACUUCGUGGAGCUUGACGAUGUUUGGAUGAGAUAAUCUUCUCAUGAUUGAGAUCUCGCGUUUGAUGUUGUUGGCUAGAGCUGGAUUUGUGAGGAGUUUUUUCUUGUUGAGGAUUUUCACGGCGACGCUUUGGCCGGUACGACGAUCACGUGCGUGGAAGACUUUGGCGAAUGCGCCGCAUCCGAGAAGCUUUCCGAGCUCAUAUUUACCGAAUAAGGCGUCGUUGUUGUCGCCGCUGCCGGCGGCAAUCUCGAUCUCUGGCAUGAUUGAUGAAUCCAGAGAUUGAUUGAUGAAUAAGAAAACUUCGCCGGAGAAUUUGAAUCUGUUUCGUUUGCGCGUAAUGCAGAUGUGAUGAACACGUAAUGAAGAAUUGAAGAUAGCGACUUGGUUAGUAACUUAUACUAACAAAACAUGUUCCACGAGGUAAUGGCAGGUGUCUCUCACACACGUGGCAAUAUCCGAACGGUGGAACAAGUCGACGCGGCGCCGGCUUCAAGCUGGACGGUUCUGGAUCGUGGGCCGGCUGUUGAAAAAUCGGUGCUGAGAUAUGUUUC